UGACGGUACCCUUUCGAAUAAGAGGUUGCUAACUCUGUGCCAGCAGCAGCGGUAAUACAGAGACCUCGAGCGUUAUCCGGAUUUACUGGGCGUAAAGCGUCUGUAGGGGGUUUGUUAAGUUCCAAGUAAAAUCUUAAGGCUCAACUUUAAGUUCGCUUGGAAAACUAAUAAACUGGAGUCCAGCAGAGGUGCAUGGAACUUGCGGUGUAGGAGUGAAAUCCGUUGAUAUCGCAAGGAACACCAAAGGCGAAGGCAUUGCACUGGGCUGGUACCGACCCUGAGAGACGAAAGCGUGGGGAGCAAAACGGAUUAGAUACCCGUGUAGUCCACGCCGUAAACGAUGGAUACUAGAUGUUCGGGGAUUCGACCCCCUGGGUGUCACAGCUAACGCGUUAAGUAUCCCGCCUGGGAAGUACGGCCGCAAGGCUAAAACUCAAAGGAAUAGACGGGGAUCCGCACAAGCGGUGGAGCGUCUGGUUUAAUUUGAUAGUAAGCAAUGGACCUCACCAAGGUUUGACAUCCUAUGACAACCCUGGAAACAGGGCUUCCUUCGGGCAUAGUGACAGGUGCUGCAUGGUCGUCGUCAGUUCGUGCCGUGAGGUGUUCCGUUAAGUCGGGAAACGAACGAAACCCUCGUCGCAUGUUACAAAUUUCAUGCGAGACUGCCCGGGUCAACCGGGAGGAAGGCGGGGAUGACGUCAGAUCAGCAUGGCCCUUAUACCUUGGGCUACACAGGCGCUACAAUGGCCGGUACAAAGGGUUGCAAAACCGCGAGGUGAAGCUAAUCCCAUAAAGCCGGUCCAAGUUCGGAUUGGAGGCUGCAACUCGCCUCCAUGAAGUUGGAAUCGCUAGUAAUCGUGGAUCAGCCAUACCACGGUGAAUACGUUCCCGGAUCUUGUACUCACCGCCCGUCACACCAAGAGAGUUGGUAGCUCCUGAAGCGUCGCAUUAG
RNAcentral lists this ribosomal RNA (952 nucleotides) under uncultured organism. RNAcentral's name for it is "bacterial SSU rRNA". It matches the Rfam family "Bacterial small subunit ribosomal RNA", at positions 470 to 1438 of the family's 1533-position model. The record is from RNAcentral.